RNAcentral lists this ribosomal RNA (876 nucleotides) under uncultured Nitrososphaerota archaeon. Its description in RNAcentral is "bacterial SSU rRNA". It matches the Rfam family "Archaeal small subunit ribosomal RNA", at positions 1 to 884 of the family's 1478-position model. Lineage: Archaea; Thermoproteati; Nitrososphaerota. The record is from RNAcentral.
UUCCGGUUGAUCCUGCCGGACCUGACUGCUAUCGGAUUGAUACUAAGCCAUGCGAGUCAUUGUAGCAAUACAAGGCAGACGGCUCAGUAACGCGUAGUCAAUCUACCCUAUGGACGGGAAUAACCUCGGGAAACUGAGAAUAAUGCCCGAUAGAACAUUGUGCCUGGAAUGGUUUAUGUUUCAAAUGAUUUAUCGCCAUAGGAUGGGACUGCGGCCUAUCAGUUUGUUGGUGAGGUAAUGGCCCACCAAGACUAUUACAGGUACGGGCUCUGAGAGGAGUAGCCCGGAGAUGGGUACUGAGACACGGACCCAGGCCCUAUGGGGCGCAGCAGGCGAGAAAACUUUGCAAUGUGCGAAAGCACGACAAGGUUAAUCCGAGUGGUUUCUGCUAAAGAAACCUUUUGUCAGUCCUAGAAACACUAACGAAUAAGGGGUGGGCAAGUUCUGGUGUCAGCCGCCGCGGUAAAACCAGCACCUCAAGUGGUCAGGAUGAUUAUUGGGCCUAAAGCAUCCGUAGCCCGUUUUGUAAGUUUUCGGUUAAAUCCAUGCGCUUAACGUAUGGGCUGCCGGGAAUACUGCAUAACUAGGAAGUGGGAGAGGUAGACGGUACUCGGGAGGAAGGGGUAAAAUCCUUUGAUCUCUUGAUGACCACCUGUGGCGAAGGCGGUCUACCAGAACACGUUCGACGGUGAGGGAUGAAAGCUGGGGGAGCAAGCCGGAUUAGAUACCCGGGUAGUCCCAGCUGUAAACUAUGCAAACUCAGUGAUGCAUUGGCUUAUGGCCAAUGCAGUGCUGCAGGGAAGCCGUUAAGUUUGCCGCCUGGGAAGUACGUACGCAAGUAUGAAACUUAAAGGAAUUGGCGGGGGAGCACCACAA